UACGUAGGGUGCAAGCGUUAAUCCGAAUUACUGGGCGUAAAGCGUGCGCAGGCGGUUUUGUAAGUCUGAUGUGAAAUCCCCGGGCUCAACCUGGGAAUUGCAUUGGAGACUGCAAGGCUAGAAUCUGGCAGAGGGGGGUAGAAUUCCACGUGUAGCAGUGAAAUGCGUAGAGAUGUGGAGGAACACCGAUGGCGAAGGCAGCCCCCUGGGUCAAGAUUGACGCUCAUGCACGAAAGCGUGGGGAGCAAACAGG
RNAcentral lists this ribosomal RNA (253 nucleotides) under uncultured bacterium. RNAcentral's name for it is "partial 16S ribosomal RNA". It matches the Rfam family "Bacterial small subunit ribosomal RNA", at positions 524 to 776 of the family's 1533-position model. The record is from RNAcentral.